UACGAAGGUGGCGAAUGUUGCUCGGAUUCACUGGGCGUAAAGCGUCUGUAGGUGGUUUUGUAAGUUAGAGGUGAAAGCCCCGCGCUCAACGUGGGAAUUGCCUUUAAAACUGCAUGACUUGAAGAUAUGAGAGGAUGGCGGAAUGACUGGUGUAGAGGUGAAAUUCGUAGAUAUCAGUCGGAACACCCAUGGCGAAGGCAGCUAUCUGGCAUAUUCUUGACACUGAGGGACGAAAGCGUGGGGAGCAAAC
This 250-nucleotide ribosomal RNA is filed under the name uncultured bacterium. RNAcentral's name for it is "partial 16S ribosomal RNA". It matches the Rfam family "Bacterial small subunit ribosomal RNA", at positions 524 to 773 of the family's 1533-position model. The record is from RNAcentral.